RNAcentral lists this unclassified non-coding RNA (118 nucleotides) under Vibrio tapetis subsp. tapetis. Its description in RNAcentral is "Manganese Mn2+ riboswitch aptamer (yybP-ykoY)". It matches the Rfam family "Manganese Mn2+ riboswitch aptamer (yybP-ykoY)". From Rfam's summary of the family: This RNA was originally discovered in E. coli during a large scale screen and was named SraF. Lineage: Bacteria; Pseudomonadati; Pseudomonadota; Gammaproteobacteria; Vibrionales; Vibrionaceae. The record is from Rfam by way of RNAcentral.
CCCCAUCCCUUUGGGGAGUAGCCUCUUCUAUCACAUAAAAAUACGAUGAAGAUGGUCGUCAACAUAAUUGAAGCAAAAUCUUCGUGGCGAUCAUGACUUACAUACACUGGUGUAAGUU